UUGGGUCUUAUGAGUCAUGCAAAGCAGACACACGACGCUGCUGACAGAGUUUUUGAUUUCGUACUUUUAUUAAAAUCUUUUGUUUUGUGGAAAUAACACUUAUCUGCCUACACUUGUUCUCUUGCUUGUCGCCGAAUUUACCUUGUGACGCCUCCCGGUUUGUUUUCCGCCACUUUUAACUCCCGUGUUCCAGUCAGGAACAACACAGAUGUUUGCUGCCAUGGCCAUAGCAUCAACAGUGCCUCUGUUGGGGUUCUUGGAUCAUAAGCAUGAUGUGCAGAAGCCACCACAACACUAUGGACUAUGUGAUGGAAUUUUAAUAUCUGGAUGUUUCAAAGUUCGAGGACGAGUUUUACCGUCAGACUGGAAGGUGGGAGACCAAACGGAGACAUGUGGCCUCCCUCGUGAAGAGUUACAGAAAGAAACGUGUUGAGCUCCGGCGAAGCGCCCGGCCGGCCGGCGAGGAGCCAAGAAGACGGAGCAGCAGGAGGAGGAGAAGGUGGAGGAGCUGAUCUUCAGCGUGGAGGCUCACAGCAGCAAAGAGCUGCGACACUUCAAGUUCCUCUCCGUCUGCUUCACGGCUCAGCUGCUCGGCUCGGCCAGCUUCGUCGGUAAACCUGCACAGGCCACAAAUACAGACUAAUAAAAGCUACAUUCGUUCUGA
Molecule: long non-coding RNA, 664 nt
Organism: Micropterus dolomieu (smallmouth bass)
Lineage: Eukaryota; Metazoa; Chordata; Actinopteri; Centrarchiformes; Centrarchidae
Exons: 2
Source: RefSeq, a predicted model, not a curated record